AAAAUUUCAAAAGUCGAACAGACUUAAUCUUUUAGCUUUUACACCAAAAAUUCAUUUUAAUCCAACAUCGAGGUCGCAAACUUUUCUUUCGAUAAGAACUCUCAAGAAAAAUAACG
This 116-nucleotide ribosomal RNA is filed under the name Hypothenemus hampei (coffee berry borer). RNAcentral's name for it is "partial 16S ribosomal RNA". The record is from RNAcentral. Lineage: Eukaryota; Metazoa; Arthropoda; Insecta; Coleoptera; Curculionidae.